UCGCGUCUACCAUGCAAGUUCGAACGAUGAACCACUUCGGUGGGGAUUAGUGGCGAACGGGUGAGUAACACGUGGGCAAUCUGCCCUGCACUCUGGGACAAGCCCUGGAAACGGGGUCUAAUACCGGAUACUGACCCGCCUGGGCAUCCAGGCGGUUCGAAAGCUCCGGCGGUGCAGGAUGAGCCCGCGGCCUAUCAGCUUGUUGGUGAGGUAACGGCUCACCAAGGCGACGACGGGUAGCCGGCCUGAGAGGGCGACCGGCCACACUGGGACUGAGACACGGCCCAGACUCCUACGGGAAGGCAGCAGA
This 310-nucleotide ribosomal RNA is filed under the name Streptomyces sp. RNM-15-20-23. RNAcentral describes it as "bacterial SSU rRNA". It matches the Rfam family "Bacterial small subunit ribosomal RNA", at positions 54 to 354 of the family's 1533-position model. The record is from RNAcentral. Lineage: Bacteria; Bacillati; Actinomycetota; Actinomycetes; Kitasatosporales; Streptomycetaceae.